AUGCAGCUGACGAGUCCCAAAAAGAACGAAAUGCGCAUCCUGGAU
RNAcentral lists this non-coding RNA (45 nucleotides) under Trichobilharzia regenti. The record is from RNAcentral. Lineage: Eukaryota; Metazoa; Platyhelminthes; Trematoda; Strigeidida; Schistosomatidae.